This 91-nucleotide small nucleolar RNA is filed under the name Choloepus hoffmanni (Hoffmann's two-fingered sloth). Its description in RNAcentral is "Small nucleolar RNA SNORD116 (ENSCHOG00000014635.1)". It matches the Rfam family "Small nucleolar RNA SNORD116". From Rfam's summary of the family: HBII-85 is a member of the C/D class of snoRNAs, which contain the C (UGAUGA) and D (CUGA) box motifs. HBII-85 is encoded in a tandemly repeated array with another C/D snoRNA, HBII-52, in the Prader-Willi syndrome (PWS) region of chromosome 15. The record is from RNAcentral. Lineage: Eukaryota; Metazoa; Chordata; Mammalia; Pilosa; Megalonychidae.
GGAAUGAUGAUGACUCCCAAAAUGCAUUCCUUGGAAACUGAACAAAAUGAGUGAGUCAUCUCUACCAUCUCAUCUCAUUUUACUGAAGUCA